This 203-nucleotide long non-coding RNA is filed under the name Elaeis guineensis (African oil palm). RNAcentral describes it as "long non-coding RNA (EGUI_LNC043248)". Lineage: Eukaryota; Viridiplantae; Streptophyta; Magnoliopsida; Arecales; Arecaceae. The record is from RNAcentral.
GAUGGACUCUCCAUUAGCACCGAAUAGUAUGAAGUCACCUUUAUUCAUACUCCUUAUAUUUUAUAGAUCCUGCAACGAUUUGCAAAGGUGUAAACUACAGGUGAUAUCUAAUAUCCAAGAAUUUGAAGUUGAAGUACUUAAUGAUAAAUUUAUUUGUAUCAUAUACAAACCUUUAGCAACACUUGCUUCCUUGUGCUUCAAAC